This 477-nucleotide ribosomal RNA is filed under the name uncultured bacterium. RNAcentral describes it as "bacterial SSU rRNA". It matches the Rfam family "Bacterial small subunit ribosomal RNA", at positions 1 to 457 of the family's 1533-position model. The record is from RNAcentral.
UCAGCCGGUCUCCGAAUGCCUCUAGAUUUNAGUUUGAUCAUGGCUCAGAUCGAACGCUGUGUCGGCAGGCCUAACACAUGCAAGUCGAGCGGAUGACGGGAGCUUGCUCCUUGAUUCAGCGGCGGACGGGUGAGUAAUGCCUAGGAAUCUGCCUGGUAGUGGGGGACAACGUUUCGAAAGGAACGCUAAUACCGCAUACGUCCUACGGGAGAAAGCAGGGGACCUUCGGGCCUUGCGCUAUCAGAUGAGCCUAGGUCGGAUUAGCUAGUUGGUGGGGUAAUGGCUCACCAAGGCGACGAUCCGUAACUGGUCUGAGAGGAUGAUCAGUCACACUGGAACUGAGACACGGUCCAGACUCCUACGGGAGGCAGCAGUGGGGAAUAUUGGACAAUGGGCGAAAGCCUGAUCCAGCCAUGCCGCGUGUGUGAAGAAGGUCUUCGGAUUGUAAAGCACUUCAAGUUGGGAGGAAGGGCAAAC